RNAcentral lists this ribosomal RNA (277 nucleotides) under uncultured Alphaproteobacteria bacterium. RNAcentral's name for it is "partial 16S ribosomal RNA". It matches the Rfam family "Bacterial small subunit ribosomal RNA", at positions 535 to 811 of the family's 1533-position model. The record is from RNAcentral. Lineage: Bacteria; Pseudomonadati; Pseudomonadota; Alphaproteobacteria.
CUAGCGUUGCUCGGAAUCACUGGGCGUAAAGGGCGCGUAGGCGGCCGAUUAAGUCGGGGGUGAAAGCCUGUGGCUCAACCACAGAAUUGCCUUCGAUACUGGUUGGCUUGAGACCGGAAGAGGACAGCGGAACUGCGAGUGUAGAGGUGAAAUUCGUAGAUAUUCGCAAGAACACCAGUGGCGAAGGCGGCUGUCUGGUCCGGUUCUGACGCUGAGGCGCGAAAGCGUGGGGAGCAAACAGGAUUAGAUACCCUGGUAGUCCACGCCGUAAACGAUG